Podarcis lilfordi (Lilford's wall lizard) is the source of this 3695-nucleotide non-coding RNA. The record is from the annotation of a GenBank genome assembly. Lineage: Eukaryota; Metazoa; Chordata; Lepidosauria; Squamata; Lacertidae.
GUCUUAUACGGAGUCAGACCACUGGGAUAUCUAGUUUAGUGUUACCUGCACCAGCUGGCAGUGGCUCUCCAGGAUUUCAGAAAAGGUCUCUCCUAAUCUUAGAGAUGCCGGAUAUUGAACCUGGGAGCUUUUGUAUGCAAUGCUGAGCUAUGACCCUUCCCUCCCUGGUAAACGUCUGGUGGUUGAGGUGAGCUGCGUCUGAGGGGCUGAACAGUGAGAAGUGUUGGAGAGUGAAGCCUCUCUUAAUUUUGUGAGUGUGCAAUUUUGUGGUUUCUUUGGAGGGCAGCUGUGCUGUGCUGCCUGGGCUUGUUUGUAAAGAGUUUGCUUGUAGUUGUGGUGAUGUUGCCUGUGUAGGUUUGUGUACUUCAGUAUUUGUUUUUGUUUUUCUAAGGGUGGGUGGAAAUGCUGUUUGGGUAGGUUUGGGGGUUUUUUUUAGGGUUCUCCCCCCCAAACUUCAAAAUAUGCCUGUAUACAUUUGGUGAGUCCUGCUCUUGAGCAAUAGGAAAAAACUUUGCUCCAUCAUCUAUAUGAGACAGGCCUUUGGAUAUUUGGAGAUGGCUAUCAUAUUGCUACUUAAUCAUCUCUUCAGGAAGUCCACAGAGAAGGACAAGAUUAUCCCUGCCCUGGGGGAUAAGCAUGAGCUACUUAUCUGGAUAUUACACAGAUUUACAAAAACGGGUGCUGUGAUCCCAGUUGUUCUUCCCAUUUUCCUGCUUCUCAGAUAUCUGAAGCCACAUGCACAGUAUGUUCUGCCUCCACCUGUCAGAAUUUUAACUAAGUUUAGCAAGCUGCUUCCAGGUUUUGUUUACUUGUGUGCCUGGUUUUAUGCACUAUUUUCAGUAAAUAAACUGUUCAUUGUUUGAGAACAGCUAUUUUGCCUGGGGCUGUUGAAAAGCUUUCACUUGCUGAUGGGUCUCAUCUGUUUAGUACUAUGUUAGUGGGACAUACAAUAUUCUUGAGUAGGUUAGAAAGUUUUCCUGUGUUUUGAAAUGCACAGAACUUCAUGGCACUCCCAGGCUCCCUUUUGCUUGAGUAUUAAGCAUGCAUCCCUGCCUGUUUGGCUACAAAUGAGUGGUGGCAUGUCACCUGAAUCAAGCACUAGUAGGAAGCCUCAGCUAGCUUAUUCUGUCUUCCCUGGAUUUGAAUGUGAGAAACACCUUGGGCCAUCUGAAUCCACCCUCCAGGUUCAUGAUGGGCUCAUCCCUACUUCCGUUCACCCCAUGUUUUCUAGGCAUCGGUUUUUCUUUCUUCCUGCUUUCUGCCGGAAAACCCGCUGCUUACUGCUGAACUGGAACAAACAAACAUCACCUUGCUGCCCCUUUCAGAGUGCUGUCCUAGACUUCGUAAGAUCAUAAUGAUACUAGAUGCAGUACUUAUAUAGACAUCUCGCUCUGAAUCUACUCAGUUAGAUCAAGAGAGAAUCUGGCAGCUGGGGUUUCUUGGUUCUGCUUGGCGCAGCUGGAACUUGCUGCAAGAUCCAUCAGGUCCCAGCAAGAGACAGACAAGUGGCAGUAUUCUCUGACUGGCAGGAGGGGAGUGCGCAGCAAGUCUGCGAUCUUGCAACACAAGGGCCUUAAUUAUGUGUGGAAGACCAUCAUUUGGGAGGGAAUGUUUGCUGCUUCUCCAGGAGGGCAGGGAGGAGGGAAGCCAUGAUUAGUUCUCAAGCUCUUAAAUUCCGGCACUGUGAUGACAUGACAUAUAAUGACAGCACGUCCCAUGUCAAAAUGAUUGCGAAUCCUGGAGGCUAAUAGCUAUGCAAAUAACCUCGUUAUCUGCCCUAUUUAUUUCCUGGGCUUCACACUGCCUUUAUUUAAGUGAUGCUUCUCAGACUGCCGCUCCUAGAGAAGGUGGGAGGCAGUGUCAUCACCAUGGCUGAGAAAAGAUGCUAACUCCUGCUGAGGUUCCCUUUCCUGGAAGAGAGGCCCAGAAUCCAAGGGCUGCCUCCAUACUCAGUUCCUCCUUUGUCCCGCAAUCAGGCAGCCUACCUAGUCAUGGGCAGUACUGGUGUUGACCAGCUCUGGGGGACUAGUUGGACAAGUGGCGCUUUUAUCAAUUCAUUCAUCAGCUGUGAGUUUGUACACCAAAAGUUGUAGAGGUGUUUUAUCUGCACAUGCACAUUUAUGUGUGCAGGGUAUACCCUGCACAUAUAAAUGUGCAUGUGCAGAUAAAGCACCUUCUCUAGCGGCGUGUGUGACUGACGUCAGCAUUUCUCAUGACAUGUGCACACAGCGCAUUGCGAGGGGGCGCAUUUGCUCUUCAAAGUCCUGUCAUGUUUGAUGAAACGACCCAUCAGAUCAGGACCCAAUAUCCGUGUGCGCAUUUGCGGAGAUAAGACUGCUUCUUUUCACAUAUCUGGUUCAUAGAUUUGGUCUUCAGAACUAUGAUGGCCCAGGUCAUAUUUCUCAAGUAUCCAAUAAAUCUCGACUAGCCCCACCUUUCUUCCACCUUUGUUUCUUCUUAGCUCUCCAGCUGUUCUAAUAAAUAUUUCACUGCAAACAAAAACUUUGCACUCCCCGAUGUUGGCUUGUUGGGAUGCGCUUUUUGUGUAGCAGCCCAGAUGGUGCUGUAUUAGGAAGACGGUUUCUUUGCCAAGUCCUUGCCCCUCCGGGUUGCACAGACAUUGCCAAAUCUUAGGGAAAGAGCCUCAAGGGUUGUAUGUUGAGAGCAAACUCUUGUCAUUAGAACAGUACUGUGAACACGUCUCACUUGAAGCCUGGUGCUGCAAUUCUCUUACUUAGGAGAAAGGAGCAGAGGGAAAUUUGUUAAGCUCACAUUUGCACUCCUUGAACAAAUAUGCACUGAAGCAUGGCUAGCCUUUGAAAUUCUCACUGUUCUGAUUUUUGCAAUGCAAUUUUCUGCCCCUAAAGUCUGAAUUAGGGAAGAGUGUGCACAAAAAUGCAUAUUUUACUGAUAUUAACACUAAAAUGCAUAAUUUUUUUCAGGAAUUUGUUUGCAUAACUGUGUGCAUAUUAGAAACAAACAGCAUAUAGAUGUUUUUUAUACUGGGAGAAAUGUGUGUUACAAUCUUAGCAUGUGGACCUACAGAGAACCGAUUCCUACUUUCAUUUAUGAUGUGAUAAAACCACAAAGAGAUUAUGUCUCUUCCCCGCCUCAUUUUUACAUUUUGUAUACUGAUACUUUUCUUCUGACCAUCCUCCUAUGUAGUGAGAUAGAUGUCCCCAAUCUGGAAAAUUGCAGUUCACCAUGACCUGGAAAAUGACUGAAAAUAAUCAGUCUCAUCUCAUUAUGGCCAUUUAGAUAAAAGCUUCAGAACAUUUCAAUGGGGGGGGGGAGCCACCCCUUUCAGAAUAAUGUUCCAUAUUCCCAAUAUUGCGUCAGCAACUGCAUCAGAUUACCUCUUCUGUUUAAAUGCAUUUCUCUUCCUUUUUGAUCUGAAAUGGAUGUAUUUAGACAUCAUUCUCUCUCUUUUCAUAAUUGCUGCCGUGAGACUUCACCUCUGUUCUUCCAGAGUCAAAGUUGAGGGGGUUGCACCUCUCUCUGCCUCCCACCCUUUUAGAACUGCAAAGUUUUGGGGGGAAUUUGUUUCUGAUGUCAGUGGGGCUUAGUUUACGUGCUGAUGGGAAGAACAACCUGGAUGAUCUAUUUAUCAGUACCUGUUUCUCCGCCCCCCCUUAUACUUUACUGAAAGUUUAAAACUACAUAAUUAUAUGUGCUCUAAACAUGGUGAGACAUAC